Long non-coding RNA from Astatotilapia calliptera (eastern happy), 403 nucleotides. Lineage: Eukaryota; Metazoa; Chordata; Actinopteri; Cichliformes; Cichlidae. The record is from Ensembl.
CAAAUACGACUUUUACACGGACACAAAGACACAGAGAAGCUAUAAACCAACAAAAAGAGCUGCAGGAAUCAGAGCGGAGGGAGUCAUCUGUCUUCGCGCAUCACCUUUGAGGCCCUGCAGCGUGCUGCCUUCACGUUCCUUUGGAAAUUGUUUCAUCACGGGCCCAGACUGGAUGAGCACCACCCUCCUGCUCUGCUGUAGGUGAAGCGGUCAGAGCUCUGUUCCUGGACCAUCCUGUUCCUAACCAUAUACAGUCUUCUGUUGGAAUCACCUCAUCUCUGCUAUUAACUGGAAGAAGGACGUGUCCUUUAAACGUGUCCACAGGUGUGUCCUACCAAAGGUGUCCUUAAAACUGCUAUAAAACGUGACUCUCAGGGGUUUUGGAACGACGUCUUAUCUGGAC